RNAcentral lists this long non-coding RNA (448 nucleotides) under Ananas comosus (pineapple). RNAcentral's name for it is "long non-coding RNA (ACOM_LNC036930)". Lineage: Eukaryota; Viridiplantae; Streptophyta; Magnoliopsida; Poales; Bromeliaceae. The record is from RNAcentral.
UUAAUUUUAUCUCUAUCUAAGAAUUCGUUGGGUGUUUAUCGAAUACUGUAUUCAAAAAAAAAUCUAGAAAAAAAUUAUAACCUUGGAUAGAAAUAAAACUGAUACAUGGAUCGAAUGGAUAACUUAAUGUUGAGGGAUAAGGAUCGUAGUUGUAGUUAAAAACUACGACCUACCAUCCAUUGAGCCAAACAGAGCCUAAGUACAAGUCUAGUUAAAACAAGUAGAAUAAAUAUUAAAUUAUAAAAUACAAAAGAUUUAAUAAAGAUAUAUACUAAGCAAUUAUAAUUUGUCGGUGCUAAAAAAAUAAAUAUUUCAUAUCAUAGUGUGUCGGCAUACAGAUAUUUUGCGACCAACACAUAUCGACACAAAACUACACGUAUCUUACCGUAUUGUAUCGAUAAUUUUUCGGCAUUAUUCUGCACCACGGUGCUUAAAUUGUUGUAUUAGC